GCAAAUCGAGGGAACGAGCUCCGGCUGCUCCUUUCUUCCUCAUCUCCAUCGUCGGCCACCAAGAAGACGAAGGUCGCCAACGAAAUAGAGCAGCGGCCGUUUCAUCUUCUUUUGCGUUCCUUAAUCUAGUCUCGAUGCCGGUUCCAUCCCCUCUAAUCUCAGCCCCUAUCAUGCAGUGGUUUUAUGGGAACGCGGACCUCGCCAUCGUUGCUCCGGGUUCACGUCGUCGUUCCAACCGAACUGAACCACCACAAGCCGAACCCUUGCGCCACCAGGGUCGCCUCGACGUCCCCUUCAAGAUUCCUCAAGAACCACAUGGAUCGGUGAAUCGAGGAGGGAGAUCGGCGUCAUCUUCUCCAACUCCGGCCGCCGGCAUCGAUCUUCGAUUCCUGCCACUUCGGUGAGCCAUUGUUCGAUUCCUCGCGCACAAACCAUCCCUGUAACCUCACUACCCUCGUGCAUGCUGUUCUCUUGCAGCUCAUCGUCCCGUUCGAGCUGUCGUCGUUCACCCGCGGAAGGACGCCGUCGCCAAGCGGUUCCGCAAGUCGCCGCUGCUGCCAAGACCUCGACAACCCUCGUUAGACUCACAGUGAGCAUCCUGGAGACCUAUUAGUUACAUGCAUGCACUCCAUUCACCUAGAUCUGACCUCUAAAUCAACCUGCAUCGUCACCCCGAGGACUGCCGCCGCUCGCGCCGCCAUUGCCAUCGAUUCUGACCACUGCAGCUCGCAAAAAGGAUACCGUCGGGUUCGCAUUUAUGUAGGCUACCUUUUCUCUUUUGGAUGCACACCGACAUGGGCCGCCGUUCAUCGCCGGCGCCGGCGAGAAACUCGCCGAGCCGCCGCUGCUCUGUCCGCCGGCCACCGUCUCACUGACGAGCGGGCCCCAUGUCAUUAGGCACUGAGAACCUCAUUUAGAGAAAGUUUAAAUCUUGUAAGGUUUAAAAUGUAAAAUAUGUUAGACUUACAUGUGGGACAACGGACUAAUUAGUAAUGAAUUAAAAGAAUCUGAGGACUCUUAAUGAAUUUGGUUCAUCGCACAUUUUGGACUGCAGAUUGAUUCCUUGAAACCUCAAGGGCCUUCCUGCAUAUUAGUCUCUCACUGACUUGUGGACCCAACUAUUUAAAAACUGGAAAAAGGAUAAAAGAAAUACACAAACUAAUAAUUUGAUAUCAAGAAAACACCUAAACUUGUAAAAUCCAUAUAAAAUUAAAUAUAGCUCAUUUUGAGAUGAUUCAAACUUCUGUAGAUUCAUAAAGUUAUUAAAUUUAAUAUAGAAAUUUAUAAAAUGCAUAUAAAAUUCAUCUCAACUUAGUUUUGAACAAACUUAAGUUCCACAGAUUCAUCAACUUACACUCUCUGAUUAGGAGAAAUAAAAGUAUAUAAUUACUUCUUUUCCAAAUGCCUUUAAAACUAUUAUCUUUAAAAUAAUAAGUUUUAGAUAAGUUAAACUUUAGAAGUUCAUAUAAAAUUCAUCUUAACUCCUCUUUGAGUAAACUCAAGUUCUGUAGAGUCACCAAAACAUGUAUUUCCAAGUUGUAAAAUAAAAAUAUAAACUUUCUGUAUAAUAAAAACAUCUAAAUAUUUAUAUAAGGAAAUAACCAACUUGGGGUAGCCUUUAAUUUGUACAACUUAUAGAAAAUUCAUCCUUAGUCCAGAAAGAGUGAACCAAGUUUCUAUGGAGUCAGAAAAAGAGUGAACUUAAAUUUAGUAAAGUAAAAUGUGGCACUUUUUGUACAAAUUAUAGCUCUGAACCUUAAUUGGAUAAAAUUGGUGCUAAUCAUAUAGUGUUGAUUAAGCAAAACAUAGGUAUGUAUAUAUAUAGAUGUAGUCUAGCUCUAAUUAAACCUAACUAAAAUUUGUUAGACCAGAAAAGCUAUAAAUUCAUCCUCAUUCACUAAAACCUAGAUGAACAUAGCUUGUGUAACAAAACUCUAGGUUAAUAUGUAAAGUCAUUAACAUAGAACAUUCCCUAAGUUACAAAAUGUGUAGUAGAGUAAUAUCAACUCAAAGUUUGUGAACUAAAAUUUGAUUAGUAGACUAAAUCAUUCAUUUUAAACAUCACUAGCAAGAUGAAACAAGUUCUGGACCUAAACCUCUAAAGCCAUGAACCUAUAUAACACUAUACAGCUAUAAAAAGUUGUAACUUCUAAAAUACAUUAGAAAUUCAUAGAAACUCUAAAAAUUGUGAAACCAAAUGUUCUAGUCUUAGAAAACUCAUCUCUUCACCUCUGUGAAGUCAAAUUUAAUUAAAAUCAAUUUAUAGAAACAUUUUAUAACACUGCCUAAUUAAACACUACUACAUACCGACAUAACUUCUAAAAUUCAUAACUCUCAAAUGGAAUGAGACAAAAUGGAAAUUCUUUCACCUAAGUUCAUUUUAGAUCAGUACCUACUUAUUAUGCACAAAUCAUACAUUUUAGAGCAUUUUAGAUUUUUGACUAUUUCGGUGUUUAAUUGCAUAACGUGUAUUUUAUUUAGAUAAUUGCAUAAGCGGUGAAGGAAUGGAUUAGGUGCAAACAUUUCUCAAUAUCAAGGCAAGUUCUCCUCCCAUCCUUUGAACACAUUGAAUCCCAUGAUUUGAGGAAUGAAAAUAUUUGUUUGCAAAGUUGCAUAUGAACUUAAACUAUACCGAUAUUUAAAAUUGGGAUAAGGUAGUUAUGACCUAUCUGCUGCAUACCCUACCUUCAAUAAUUGUGAUCCUUGCUGCUUAAACCCCUAGAAAUGGUUAGAGUACACUCUUUGUGCUCAAAUAGGUUUAUAUAUGCUCUAUGUCCAACUACUUGCUUAGCCAUGCUUAGAAACAUGCAAAUGCUCAUUCCAUCUAUAAUUAAAAUAUGAUUUUGACGCAUGAACCUUUGCUGGAAUAAAAUGAAUAUGAUAGGUAUUUGUGAACUAAAAUAAGUAAAAUGUGAUUUUAGACUUGGGCGGCAAGUGGUGUGCAUAUGAUGUUAGUUGCAUACCGAUAGGGGGAGUGUUUGCCCGAGUCCGUAAGGACUGAACUUGUGUCACCAACUUAAAGUUAUUCGUACAUCCACAUGUGCUAGUAUGGGAUGGACUAAGCUGAUUAAUCUAUUUAGAACUAGCCUUGCAUUCUGGUAGGCCGGUGUGUAUGAGUUGGAAUAAUUCAGAGGAGCUUCCUAUUUACCCCAAAGUGGUAGUUUAGGUGACUAAACAUGUCCAAUACAACGGUAUUGUGCCACGUGGUGGGUUCCCAUCGUGGUAGUUUAAGGCGUGGGCCUGCUACUUAGCGGUUCUAGACAUAUUCCAAGAAUGUCUAGGAUGGAGGAACACGUAUCGUGCUGGUGCAAGGCUAGAUUCUAAGUAGUGUGAAGGCUUCGUUGUGACCUCUAGAAUGUACUUAAUGCGUAUAGUAUGGUGGUACCGACGGGUACCGAACAAACUAGAGCGAUUCAGAUCAUGUGGGUAAAGCUGUACAAACUCUGCGGAAUUCUCUAAACUAAUCGAUUAGCCAUGCUCACGGUCAUGAGCGCUUUGGUGAAGUGUUAUGAGUAUAGACUAUGUUUUAAAAUGAGAACAUGUAACUUGGUUUGAAAUUGAUAAAAUGUGUUGAGUUCUGUGAGUGUGGUGAUAUAUUAUGACUUGUUGUCAAGGAUGACAACAAGAGAUUGAUUAUGAUGGAAUUAUGAUGAACUUAAUGAUAAAAGUUAAAACUUGUUUUUGAUAGUUGAAUUGCCAACUCCAUUACAAAAGAUUUGUGAAACAAAACCUCUUUAUGCCGAAAAUAAACUACAUAAUGCCUUCCUUUGAAUAUAUGCCUUAUAUGUAGUAUGUUAGGAUUGUCUUGUGCUUGCCAAUACAUUAAUUUGAUUAAUAUACUAACUCUUGCUGUUGGAAUAAACUUUUGCUUGCAGGAUUUAGACUUAGUCUUUGAGUGAUGCAUGUUUCGAUUGCUUCUUCUAGGAUGAGAACUUGAUGGGGUAUACCCCUAGUCGGUGUGCUUGUAUUUGGGUAGUCAAGCUUCCGUUGUUCUAUAUUUAUGUCUAUUUGGCCGGUCGGCCUAUGUAUCUAUUUAGUUGUUGUAAGUCCUUAAGUUCCUUUCAUCUUAAUUGUGUUUGCUAUGUAUGUCCAUGCUUAAGAUGAAAGUGUGAAUCUAGUGCACAUCCUGGCAACUAGAUUCACAUGAGUAUGAGUUAAGAAUAUUUGAGAUGUUGUAGAUCUUUAGCCAUUUUUGUCAGCUCUCCUGAAUGUGUAACACAUCUGGUCGCCACCUUCGAGUGGAUUGACGGGUACAUCUCAG
Molecule: long non-coding RNA, 4261 nt
Filed under: Oryza sativa (Asian cultivated rice)
Lineage: Eukaryota; Viridiplantae; Streptophyta; Magnoliopsida; Poales; Poaceae
Description: long non-coding RNA (OSAT_LNC000693)
Source: RNAcentral